This 478-nucleotide ribosomal RNA is filed under the name uncultured bacterium. Its description in RNAcentral is "partial 16S ribosomal RNA". It matches the Rfam family "Bacterial small subunit ribosomal RNA", at positions 28 to 507 of the family's 1533-position model. The record is from RNAcentral.
GAUGAACGCUGGCGGCGUGCUUAACACAUGCAAGUCGAGCGGGAAACCUUUUAUUGAAGCUUCGGCAGAUUUAGCUGGUUUCUAGUGGCGGACGGGUGAGUAACGCGUGGGUAACCUGCCUUAUACAGGGGGAUAACAACCAGAAAUGGUUGCUAAUACCGCAUAAGCGCACAGGACCGCAUGGUCCGGUGUGAAAAACUCCGGUGGUAUAAGAUGGACCCGCGUUGGAUUAGCUAGUUGGCAGGGUAACGGCCUACCAAGGCGACGAUCCAUAGCCGGCCUGAGAGGGUGAACGGCCACAUUGGGACUGAGACACGGCCCAGACUCCUACGGGAGGCAGCAGUGGGGAAUAUUGCACAAUGGGGGAAACCCUGAUGCAGCGACGCCGCGUGAAGGAAGAAGUAUCUCGGUAUGUAAACUUCUAUCAGCAGGGAAGAUAGUGACGGUACCUGACUAAGAAGCCCCGGCUAACUACGUG